CCAUGAUUUGGAUAGAUAAUUUGGAUGUGGUCCAAGCCUUGACUAAUAAUGAAUUGGAAGGUUCAGGUAUCAUUGUGCUUAGAAGGGUCCAGCGGAUUAGGUAUAUAACUAUAGACAGAGGCAGAUACAGAGAGAUUGGCAGGGGCCCUGGCCCCCCUUAAAAUGGAAAAUUUCUAUUUAUGUCAUUGAAUUUUUUUAAAAAUUUUAAAUUAAUAAAGGUAAAAUUGUACUUU
This 233-nucleotide long non-coding RNA is filed under the name Gossypium barbadense (sea-island cotton). Its description in RNAcentral is "long non-coding RNA (GBAR_LNC011073)". The record is from RNAcentral. Lineage: Eukaryota; Viridiplantae; Streptophyta; Magnoliopsida; Malvales; Malvaceae.